AGCUUAUGAUGUGGACAUUUUCUCAACAAGUCUUUGAAUCUCUCCCAUAUCUCAAAUAGUGAUUCAGUGUCUAAUUGUGCAUAAGCUGUAAUCUCUUGACGUAACUU
Molecule: small nucleolar RNA, 107 nt
Organism: Dioscorea cayenensis subsp. rotundata (Guinea yam)
Lineage: Eukaryota; Viridiplantae; Streptophyta; Magnoliopsida; Dioscoreales; Dioscoreaceae
Source: RefSeq, a predicted model, not a curated record